UACAGAGGGUGCAAGCGUUGUUCGGAAUUAUUGGGCGUAAAGGGUGCGUAGGCGGUGCGGUAAGUCUCUUGUGAAAUCUCCAGGCUCAACCUGGAGCCUGCAAGGGAAACUGCCGUGCUUGAGUGUGGGAGAGGUGAGUGGAAUUCCCGGUGUAGCGGUGAAAUGCGUAGAUAUCCGGAGGAACACCAGUGGUGCAGACGGCGCCCUGGGUCCGAACUGACGCUGAAGCACGGAAGCGUGGGGAGCGAACGGG
This 253-nucleotide ribosomal RNA is filed under the name uncultured bacterium. RNAcentral's name for it is "partial 16S ribosomal RNA". It matches the Rfam family "Bacterial small subunit ribosomal RNA", at positions 524 to 776 of the family's 1533-position model. The record is from RNAcentral.